AGAGUUGAUCCUGGCUCAGGACGAACGCUGGCGGCGUGCCUAACACAUGCAAGUCGAACGAGAAGCUUUUAAUGAUUCCUUCGGGGAGAUUUAAAAGAUGGACAGUGGCGGACGGGCGAGUAACGGUGAGUAACCUGCCCAUAAGUGAGGGAUAGCCCAUGGAAACGUGGAGUAAUACCUCAUAUGUAUACUGAUCACAUGAUCUAUAUAUGAAAGAUUUAUCGCUUAUGGAUGGACUCGCGUCUAUUAGAUAGUUGGUGAGGUAACGGCUCACCAAGUCGACGAUCAGUAGCCGAACUGAGAGGUGAUCGGCCGCAUUGGGACUGAGACACGGCCCAGACUCCUACGGGAGGCAGCAGUGGGGAUAUUGCGCAAUGGGGGAAACCCUGACGCAGCAACGCCGCGUGCAGGAAGAAGGUCUUCGGUUGUAAACUGUUGUCGCAAGGGAAGAAGACAGUGACGGUACCUUGUGAGAAAGUCACGGCAACUACGUGCCAGCAGCCGCGGUAAUACGUAGGUGACAAGCGUUGUCCGGAUUUACUGGGGUAAAGGGCGUGUAGGCGGGAUAGCAAGUCAGUCGUGAAAUACCGAGGCUCAACCUCGGGCUGCGAUUGAAACUGUUAUUCUUGAGUAUCGGAGAGGAAAGCGGAAUUCCCAGUGUAGCGUGAAAUGCGUAGAUAUUGGGAGGAACACCAGUGGCGAAGGCGGCUUUCUGGACGACAACUACGCUGAGGCGCGAAAGUGUGGGGAGCAAACAGGAUUAGAUACCCUGGUAGUCCACACCGAAACGAUGGAUACUAGGUGUAGGAGGUAUCGACUCCUUCUGUGCCGCAGUUAACACAAUAGUAUCCCACCUGGGGA
This 861-nucleotide ribosomal RNA is filed under the name uncultured Bacillota bacterium. Its description in RNAcentral is "bacterial SSU rRNA". It matches the Rfam family "Bacterial small subunit ribosomal RNA", at positions 8 to 879 of the family's 1533-position model. The record is from RNAcentral. Lineage: Bacteria; Bacillati; Bacillota.